GAUGAAGAACGCAGCGAAAUGCGAUAAGUAAUGUGAAUUGCAGAAUUCAGUGAAUCAUCGAAUCUUUGAACGCACAUUGCGCCCCUUGGUAUUCCGAGGGGCAUGCCUGUUCGAGCGUCAUUAUAACCCCUCAAGCUUAGCUUGGUGUUGGGGCCUGCUGUAAUAGAGCGGCCCUUAAAAUCAGUGGCGGUGCCAUUAGGCUCUAAGCGUAGUAAUUCUUCUCGCUAUAGGGUUCUGGUGGAUGCUUGCCAUUAACCUCUAAUUUUCUAUGGUUGACCUCGGAUCAGGUAGGGAUACCCGCUGAACUUAAGCAUAUCAAUAAGCGGAGGA
Molecule: unclassified non-coding RNA, 330 nt
Filed under: soil metagenome
Description: partial contains 5.8S ribosomal RNA, internal transcribed spacer 2, and large subunit ribosomal RNA
Rfam family: 5.8S ribosomal RNA (bases 1-120)
Source: RNAcentral